UUCACAAAAUGGUUUUAGUUUUACUGGGAGAACCAAAGGAUAGAAAUGGACCCCUGAAAGGUGGAAGUCUGAUCUUCGGUCCGAUCUUCAUGCAUGUGUAGAAGGAUUUAUCAAUUAUUCGAUUUAAAUUACACUAAAGUCUAUGAAUAAAGGCGAAUACAGUGAGCAACUGGGUCAUUCGUCCCACAUCCAAAGAUAUUCAGAAUGGGGGUAGGAAUUCUCCAGUCCCAUUCUUUCUCUAUUACUU
This 247-nucleotide long non-coding RNA is filed under the name Lathyrus oleraceus (garden pea). RNAcentral's name for it is "Pisum sativum (pea) long non-coding RNA (PSAT_LNC006365)". The record is from RNAcentral. Lineage: Eukaryota; Viridiplantae; Streptophyta; Magnoliopsida; Fabales; Fabaceae.